This 425-nucleotide ribosomal RNA is filed under the name uncultured bacterium. RNAcentral describes it as "partial 16S ribosomal RNA". It matches the Rfam family "Bacterial small subunit ribosomal RNA", at positions 354 to 796 of the family's 1533-position model. The record is from RNAcentral.
GUUAGGAAUAUUGGACAAUGGGCGCAAGCCUGAUCCAGCCAUGCCGCGUGAGUGAUGAAGGCCUUCGGGUUGGAAAGCUCUUUAGUCCACGAAUAUAAUGACUGUAGUGGAAGAAUAAGCCCCGGCUAACUUCGUGCCAGCAGCCGCGGUAAUACGAAGGGGGCGAGCGUUAUUCGGAAUCACUGGGCGUAAAGCGUGCGUAGGCUGGUUUGUAAGUCAGAAGUGAAAGCCCAGGGCUUAACCCUGGAAUUGCUUUUGAAACUACAAGACUCGAAUUCGGGAGAGGAUAGCGGAAUUGUCAGUGUAGCAGUGAAAUGAGUAGAUAUUGACAGGAACACCAGUGGCGCAAGCGGCUAUCUGGACCGAUAUUGACGCUGAGGUACGAAAGUGUGGGUAGCGAACAGGAUUAGAUACCCGAGUAGUCC